GUGUCAGCAGCCGCGGUAAGACGAACCGUGCAAACGUUAUUCGGAAUCACUGGGCUUAAAGCGCGUGUAGGCGGGUGGGAACGUCGGCUGCUGAAAGCCCCCGGCUCAACCGGGGAAGGGGCACCGAAACGACCCGUCUCGAGGAACGUAGGGGGACCUGGAACUUCCGGUGGAGCGGUGAAAUGCGUUGAGAUCGGAAGGAACGCCCGUGGCGAAAGCGAGGUCCUGGACGUUAUCUGACGCUGAGACGCGAAAGCUAGGGGAGCAAACGGGAUUAGAAACCCCUGUAGUCC
RNAcentral lists this ribosomal RNA (293 nucleotides) under uncultured bacterium. RNAcentral describes it as "partial 16S ribosomal RNA". It matches the Rfam family "Bacterial small subunit ribosomal RNA", at positions 505 to 796 of the family's 1533-position model. The record is from RNAcentral.